This 500-nucleotide unclassified non-coding RNA is filed under the name plant metagenome. RNAcentral's name for it is "partial contains small subunit ribosomal RNA, internal transcribed spacer 1, and 5.8S ribosomal RNA". The record is from RNAcentral.
UUUCCGUAGCCUAUUGAAGCCUGACACGGCGACUUGACAAACAAUCGUGGAGUCUACACUGAACAAGAUUCAAGUGGGCGAUGCCAAAGAAGUGCUGGGAAUCUUUAACAGGAACGCCAGCAGCCAUCCGGGCCCGUUCAUCCGGGCUGAUGGUUCACAGAUCAAGUAGUGGCAGUCAUGAGUCGAGUAGUCACCGAACUGCUUAAACUUUGUGAUGAAGAUAUGACCGGUCAGUGGCUGAACAAGCCAGCUGAGAAACGUUCCGUAGGUGAACCUGCGGAAGGAUAAUUAAAGAGUAAGGGUCUCCGGGCCCGAUCUCCAACCCUUUGUUUAAUUACCAUGUUGCUCUGGCGGGCCCGUCUCACGACCGCCGGAAGUUUGGUCUCAACCAAACUUCUGGCCCGUGCCCGUCAGUGGCCCCUUCAAAUUCUUGAUUAAAUAUGAUGUCUUAGUUAUAAACUUAAUAGUUAAAACUUUCAACAACGGAUCUCUUGGUUCUG